CGGCACUUCAACAAAUCUUAACUAACUACAUUAUUGGGCGUCUCAGCCUUUUUGUCCGGUGUAAUGCUGACAUGGCCAGAUGGGAACCUGUACAAGACAUUCAGGAACCAGUUCCUUGCCUACUCCUUGUAUCAAAGUUUUGUUCAGUGUCUGCAGUGCUAUUAUCAGAGUGGGUGUCUGUACAGACUACGAGCUCUGGGAGAAAGACACAACAUGGAUCUGACCGUGGGUGAGAUGCACAGCAACACGCCAAGGACACGGAAUACAGACGCACUCAGUCUGACAUUUCAUAACUAAAAAUGUUUAGAAACAAUUUUGAGAACCAGUGAUGCUCCAUCAGACAUCAU
This is a long non-coding RNA of Siniperca chuatsi (mandarin fish), 347 nucleotides long. RefSeq lists it as uncharacterized. Lineage: Eukaryota; Metazoa; Chordata; Actinopteri; Centrarchiformes; Sinipercidae. The record is from RefSeq and is a predicted model, not a curated record. The transcript is spliced from 3 exons.